GAUGAUGGGCCCUCUGGCUCACUGUAGGCCCCGACACGUCCGACCCCGGCCUCGGCCAUUUGGUACAGGAUUGCAUCAUCAGACUCUGCUCUUGAUCGAGCAUUUGAUGUUUUGGCAGCUCGAACAUUUCCCCGAGGCCGACCUGCUCCAGACGCAGAAAUGAUGUCCCUAGUUGUGAUAAAGCCUCAGUGAGGUUAAAGGACCUGAAUGGCUGAGUGGGACCUCCGGUAAAGAUACGGGACUCUUGUGAAAACCAUUGGGAGAGAACAAGACGUUAUCCGGGCAUGCACCACCGUUACAUUGAAUGUCAUCACACUUAUAGUUUGUAAGAUCAGCACAAAGAGGAUCAGGGGAGAAGAUUGUCAUCUGCUGUAUCAAUAUGGACGGGACUUUGUGCAUGACUGUGACUCCAGGUUCACACUUACGACCAAGAAUCCGACUCUGUUCCUUCCCCUGACCAGUUUAACAGCAGAGGACAGUGGGGACUACACAUUUGAGUGUUCACAUCUUCAUGGAACAGAUGGUUUUCAUCUCAGCACCACUGUGGAAGGAGAUGAAGAGUCCAACACUUCUAUUAUGACCAGGCUCAGUUCUGCCACCGUGAUUGGUCUCGUUGCCGCACCUAUCAUUGUAACUGGAGUCGUCCUUGGACUUAUCCUGAAAAAAUAAUCCUUGCAGAGACCAUACAAGGUCAGGACCAUCUGGAUAAUCUGUAUUUGAACCCCCCUGCUCUGUGGUGAGAAAUGUGCAGUAUUCUUUUGUUUCUGACCUUUCAGCUUGGUAAGUAGCCAAUUUAUUGUGUGCAGUUUCAUUUACAUUAAAGUUAUAGACAUCUGGCUGCCGUUCUGAUCCAAAGCAACACGAUAAACUUUGCAGCAGUAGACGCUUAUAUUCCAAAUGACUCAUCAGUUGACCAUCAGUUGAUUUAACAGAAAUGUGUGUGAGGAAAUCUCAUAAAGAGAAGAGAAUACGCUCGGUUGAAACUCUUUACACUUGCUUAGUAGCAGGUACUGAAGGACUCAUUUCAAUUCAGUCACCAAGUCUCAAUACUCUCAACACUGCGGACUUGCUUUGUUCUUUCGUUUUUCACACCAUUUACAGAAUGGUGUGAAAAAUAUUUUACACAUAGUACACGGUGUUAAAACUGCAGGGAGGCAGGUUCCAAUCAGCAGCAUUUGCUUUCUUGUUAGGCUGUCUUGAAUUUUGCAAAUCCCUGACUUGGGUUUGAAGAACGUCUCUUGUGUUUGGUUUCUUUUAAAGCAGCAAAGAGAAUCAAUGCUCUUCCAUUUGCUCUGCAAAUAGCCAGCUAGACUGCAAUUUCCUCUGUAAUCGUUUUGAGGUGCUUGGCCUGCCCUUACUAACGCUGACACUCAUUGGUGUUAACAGAGAGCACACAAGAUCAGGAGCAUCCGAAUGAAGGGGAUCUGAAACCCUGGCCUUUGGUAAGCACUACAUAGUUCUGUUUUAUACCUCUUCUCAAUGUUUGUAAUGACUGGACCAACAACAUGUCAACUAUUGUUUUAAACUACAUAUAAUUAUAUUCGAAGUGUGAUAUAAAAUGUUGAUUUGGUUUGUGGGACCUGGAUGAUCCCUACACAAGCCUUCAGCUGCCGGCCAGUGAUGUCUGCCAAGUCAUCUCCUCAAGUCGCCCUUAUCACGAUACCGAGGCAGCUCCAACUAACACUGAUGUAAUGAUCACCUGUGUUAAUAGUCAGGAGACGGAUGGAAAAGAGGGGGAUUCAGACUCAGGUUACACAGUGUAUGAAACAAUGUAAAACUAAGCAGGAGAUUUGUACAAUUUUGCACAAAAUGCAGAAAACAUACAUCUCUCUCUCUGCAGUUCAUGCAACGCUGUGUCCGUGUAAUAUUAUUGUAGUCUUUAGAUUCUGACUUGUAAAUAGUGCCAGUGUUAAAAACAUCCAAGUUGUGAUUACGACUCAAAGGGAAGCUCAAAGUAUGUUGUUUAAGGCGAUUAAACCCCAAAUUCAACAGAUGCGGUGUUACAUUGUCAGUGCACAAUAUUUUUAACACUCACCCUACCAUCAUACAACCACCUUGUCCUGUGAUGGGAAUAAACUUUGAGCUCUGUAUGUGAGUUAGUGUUUAGCUGACCAGCUGACACGUGCAAUACAACUCUUUUCCUCUUGAAUUUCACCAAGAUGGUGAAGGUCGCCAUAGAGUCGCCAGCAUAGGUGUUUCGGUUUGUUUUCAUGCCCUUUCUCACCUUUUCUGUGGUAACAUGAAUGCGCAUACCCUAAUGUCUCACACUUCCUCUUUGGAGCACCGCACACUAACUCAGACCUCUGUCAGAGCUGUGAAUCGGGGGUUUUGGCAAAAAACAGAGCACAAAGGGGUGUGUCUCUCUACUGAAGUACAGUCGACUCUCUCAGCAGCAGUUCCACUGUUGCAUAAAUGUCUUGACCAAUAUGGGCAGAUGGAAACUGUGCUUUGUUCUGCUUCUGCCGCUAAUUUUUUAUAUUACCAGCAAAGGUACAGUAGAGAAACUAUUAUUUAUGUUUGGCAAAUACAACACAUUGUUCUCUGUUAAUCCGUCAAAACCAAAGAAAGUGUCUAUUUCAUACUAUAUUGAUUGUGAUUUUAAUUCAUCGAUUGCAGAGACUCGAGUGGAACCUGUGAUAACCGCUGGGAGAGAACAAAAUCUGUUUCCAAUAUGUACCAAUGGGUCGGUGUAUAUCAUCACACUUAUAGUAUGUACAAUCAGAACAGAGAGAAAGUGGGAAAAAGGCUGUCGUCUGCUGUAUCGAUACGGACAGGGUUUUUUUCGCGAAUGUGACUCCAGAUUCGCACUUCUGAUGGAGAAUCAGACUAUGUUCCUCCACCUGACCGGUUUAACGCCAGAGGACAGUGGGAACUUCACCUGUGAGUGUUCACAUCUUGGCGGAACCUAUACUUACUAUAACAAUAUAACUGUGGAAGGUAAAUGAUUAAUUUAUUUUAUGACUUUUGUGUUUCAUACUGUAUUUCUCUGGUUAUUUUCCAGUGUGUGGUAACAUUAUAAGGAAUGUCAACGUCAGCAUGUCUGUACUUGUCGAAGAAAUCAAACCUGGGUGAAUAAAAGUGUUGAGUAAAUUAGCCAACAAAGCCUGGUAUCAAGUAAACUGACGAAUGACAGCAUUUGUACUAUGAGAAUAUACUUAAUACUAACAAUAUAAUAUGAAUGCAAUAUCAUGUUGUUCUAUUUAUUAUAUAUAUUAAAUUUUCAUUGUACUUUUUUCCACCAGAUAAACAAUUUUCUAAAUGGAAAUAGCAUUUUAGAGAAAUUUCCGUCAGGUUUCAGUGCUAAUCGUGGCACAGAGACUGCUCUCACAAAGAUAGUUAGUGAUCAGAGACUUAGUCCUGCUGCCAGCAAGCUUUCAGUUCUGGUUCUCUUAGAUUUAAGUACAGACCAUUGAAUUCCCCUGACUGAGCGAACUGAGUUGGCCUCUCAGACUGUGUUCUAAAGUGGCCCCGAACACACGUUGAAGGACGAAAAUUUUUUACGUUUGUCUUUGCGACCAUGUGUUACAGAAACGUGACAUAGCCUCUGGUGUUGCACAAGGGAGCUGCCGUGCCCCUCUGUUGACCUCACUAUAAACGCUUCCUCAAGGGAAUAUAAUGUUAGCUUCCAUAGCUACGCUGAUGAUACGCAAUUGUACAUAUGUCUUUUUUUAGGUGAUUAUGCCUCUAAAUUUCUUUUUUUGGUUUCUUUAAUUACCUUUUAUGCCUUUAAAUGUUUUUCUUUUAGUUGAUUAUGCCUUUAAAUGUCUUCUUAUCGAUCUCUCAAAUGCCUUGCUCUCACUGCGACGCCAAGCAAUUUUAUCUUUACCUGCUUGCUUUUAAUUUAUUGUUUCCAUGUUUUGUUUUGUUUUUAAUUUAUUUACUACUAUUAUGAUGUAACAUAGUACUGUGGACAACAGAGAGCAGCAUCUUAAUUUUGCUUUACAAAUAGAGUGAAUUCCAGUGCUGCUUUUCUGAUAGUUUUUUUCUGUACAAUGAUUAAGAGGAUGAAAACGCCCGCGGUUCUACACAAGUGCCUCUUCCCUAUGCUGUAACCGGUGCACUGAUAUUCAUCAUUAUAACUGGCGUCAUCCUGGGUUUUAUCUACAGAAAGAUUCACAAUGGAAGACAACCAGAACCCAUGGCCAGUCAACGAAACAUGGAACCAGGAGACAUUGAGCCGUACAGCAUCUUCUUGCAGAGAGAGAAUGUGCUUUAUUCAGUUGUCACAAUUCAAAGAAACACAUAAUACACUAAAAAUGGAUGCUAAUAAUUCAGAUGUAUUUGCUAGAAUUUCUGGAUGCCUUUGUAGAGCUUUCAUUAUACAUAUCUACUUCCAUGUGAUGCGUGUUAGCCUAUUGUAUGAUAAGUGAGACAGGGCCUGCUAUUCAUAAGGUAAUUAUUUAUCUUUUCCAUUUAUUCACUCACUCAUUUAAUGUCCUUUUUAAAAAAUAAAAUGUCCUUUUGUAAAUUCUAUUUUUUAAAAGCCUGUCUAAA
Molecule: RNA transcript, 4494 nt
Organism: Xiphias gladius (swordfish)
Lineage: Eukaryota; Metazoa; Chordata; Actinopteri; Istiophoriformes; Xiphiidae
Exons: 7
Source: RefSeq, a predicted model, not a curated record